CGCUGGCGGCGUGCCUAACACAUGCAAGUCAACUUGACUGAAGGAGCAAUCUGACAGUAGAGUGGCGCAAGGGUGCGUAACGCGUAAGUAACUUGCCCAAGGUAGGAAUAACGUCGAGAAAUCGGCGCUAAUACCUCAUAAUGCAGCGGAUCCGCAUGGAUAUGUUGUUAAAGGUUUACCGCCUUGGGAUAGGCUUGCGUCUGAUUAGUUAGUUGGUGUGGUAACGGCACACCAAGGCUACGAUCAGUAACUGGUCUGAGAGGAUGAUCAGUCACACUGGAACUGAGACACGGUCCAGACUCCUACGGGAGGCAGCAGUGAGGAAUAUUGGGCAAUGCUCGAAAGAGUGACCCAGCAACGCCGCGUGGAGGAUGAAGGUAUUCUAUAUCGUAAACUCCUGUGAGAGCAGACGAAAGACAGAUUAUUAAUCUGGAUGACUGUAUGCUCAGAGGAAGCCCCGGCUAACUACGUG
This 472-nucleotide ribosomal RNA is filed under the name uncultured bacterium. Its description in RNAcentral is "bacterial SSU rRNA". It matches the Rfam family "Bacterial small subunit ribosomal RNA", at positions 34 to 507 of the family's 1533-position model. The record is from RNAcentral.